This 462-nucleotide ribosomal RNA is filed under the name uncultured bacterium. RNAcentral describes it as "partial 16S ribosomal RNA". It matches the Rfam family "Bacterial small subunit ribosomal RNA", at positions 28 to 507 of the family's 1533-position model. The record is from RNAcentral.
GACGAACGCUGGCGGCGUGCUUAACACAUGCAAGUCGAACGGAAAGGCCCUUCGGGGUACUCGAGUGGCGAACGGGUGAGUAACACGUGGGUGAUCUGCCCUGCACUUUGGGAUAAGCCUGGGAAACUGGGUCUAAUACCGAAUAGGACCACGCGCUUCAUGGUGUGUGGUGGAAAGCUUUUGCGGUGUGGGAUGGGCCCGCGGCCUAUCAGCUUGUUGGUGGGGUAAUGGCCUACCAAGGCGACGACGGGUAGCCGGCCUGAGAGGGUGACCGGCCACACUGGGACUGAGAUACGGCCCAGACUCCUACGGGAGGCAGCAGUGGGGAAUAUUGCACAAUGGGCGCAAGCCUGAUGCAGCGACGCCGCGUGAGGGAUGACGGCCUUCGGGUUGUAAACCUCUUUCAACAGGGACGAAGCGCAAGUGACGGUACCUAUAGAAGAAGCACCGGCCAACUACGUG